GAUGAACGCUAGCUACAGGCUUAACACAUGCAAGUCGAGGGGAAACGACAUCGAAAGCUUGCUUUUGAUGGGCGUCGACCGGCGCACGGGUGAGUAACGCGUAUCCACCCUGCCCACCACUUGGGGAUAACCUUGCGAAAGUAAGACUAAUACCCAAUGAUAUCCCACGAAGACAUCUGAAUGGGAUUAAAGAUUUAUCGGUGAUGGAUGGGGAUGCGUCUGAUUAGCUUGUUGGCGGGGUAACGGCCCACCAAGGCAACGAUCAGUAGGGGUUCUGAGAGGAAGGUCCCCCACAUUGGAACUGAGACACGGUCCAAACUCCUACGGGAGGCAGCAGUGAGGAAUAUUGGGCAAUGGGCGAGAGCCUGAACCAGCCAAGUAGCGUGCAGGAAGACGGCCCUAUGGGUUGUAAACUGCUUUUAUAAGGGAAUAAAGUGGGUCACGUGUGACUUUUUGCAUGUACCUUAUGAAUAAGGACCGGCUAAUUCCGUG
RNAcentral lists this ribosomal RNA (492 nucleotides) under uncultured bacterium. RNAcentral's name for it is "partial 16S ribosomal RNA". It matches the Rfam family "Bacterial small subunit ribosomal RNA", at positions 28 to 507 of the family's 1533-position model. The record is from RNAcentral.